Molecule: ribosomal RNA, 482 nt
Filed under: uncultured bacterium
Lineage: Bacteria
Description: partial 16S ribosomal RNA
Rfam family: Bacterial small subunit ribosomal RNA
Source: RNAcentral
UGGGGAAUAUUGCACAAUGGGCGAAAGCCUGAUGCAGCGACGCCGCGUGCGGGAUGAAGGCCUUCGGGUUGUAAACCGCUUUUAAUUGGGAGCAAGCGAGAGUGAGUGUACCUUUUGAAUAAGCACCGGCUAACUACGUGCCAGCAGCCGCGGUAAUACGUAGGGUGCAAGCGUUAUCCGGAAUUAUUGGGCGUAAAGAGCUCGUAGGCGGUUUGUCACGCCUGGUGUGAAAGUCCAUCGCUUAACGGUGGAUCUGCGCCGGGUACGGGCAGGCUAGAGUGCAGUAGGGGAGAUUGGAAUUCCCGGUGUAACAGUGGAAUGUGUAGAUAUCGGGAAGAACACCAAUGGCGAAGGCAGAUCUCUGGGCUGUUACUGACGCUGAGGAGCGAAAGCAUGGGGAGCGAACAGGAUUAGAUACCCUGGUAGUCCAUGCCGUAAACGGUGGAUGCUGGAUGUGGGACCCUUCCACGGGUUCCGUGUCG